CAUUACCGAGUGCGGGUCCUUUGGGCCCAACCUCCCAUCCGUGUCUAUUAUACCCUGUUGCUUCGGCGGGCCCGCCGCUUGUCGGCCGCCGGGGGGGCGCCUUUGCCCCCCGGGCCCGUGCCCGCCGGAGACCCCAACACGAACACUGUCUGAAAGCGUGCAGUCUGAGUUGAUUGAAUGCAAUCAGUUAAAACUUUCAACAAUGGAUCUCUUGGUUCCGGCAUCGAUGAAGAACGCAGCGAAAUGCGAUAACUAAUGUGAAUUGCAGAAUUCAGUGAAUCAUCGAGUCUUUGAACGCACAUUGCGCCCCCUGGUAUUCCGGGGGGCAUGCCUGUCCGAGCGUCAUUGCUGCCCUCAAGCCCGGCUUGUGUGUUGGGUCGCCGUCCCCCUCUCCGGGGGGACGGGCCCGAAAGGCAGCGGCGGCACCGCGUCCGAUCCUCGAGCGUAUGGGGCUUUGUCACAUGCUCUGUAGGAUUGGCCGGCGCCUGCCGACGUUUUCCAACCAUUUUUUCCAGGUUGACCUCGGAUCAGGUAGGGAUACCCGCUGAACUUA
This 553-nucleotide unclassified non-coding RNA is filed under the name Aspergillus neoniger. RNAcentral's name for it is "sequence contains 18S rRNA gene, ITS1, 5.8S rRNA gene, ITS2, 28S rRNA gene". The stretch from base 192 to 345 matches the Rfam family "5.8S ribosomal RNA". The record is from RNAcentral. Lineage: Eukaryota; Fungi; Ascomycota; Eurotiomycetes; Eurotiales; Aspergillaceae.